AGCUGCGGCGGGACCGCCACUGUAUUUGAGGGACGGCGUGUGCCCACAGGGGGCUUCUGCCGAUCCCCAACGCCAGGCCCGGGGGCCUGAGGGUUGUAAUGACGCUCGAACAGGCAUGCCCGCCAGAAUACUGGCGGGCGCAAUGUGCGUUCAAAGAUUCGAUGAUUCACUGAAUUCUGCAAUUCACAUUACUUAUCGCAUUUCGCUGCGUUCUUCAUCGAUGCCAGAGCCAAGAGAUCCGUUGUUGAAAGUUUUAAUUUAUUUGCUUGUUUGCUCAGAAAAACAUUAUAAAAACAGAGUUAGGGGUCCUCUGGCGGGGGCGGCCCGUUGUUACAGGGCCGUCUGUUCCCGCCGAAGCAACGUUUUAGGUAUGUUCAC
This 378-nucleotide unclassified non-coding RNA is filed under the name Fusarium solani. RNAcentral describes it as "sequence contains 18S rRNA gene, ITS1, 5.8S rRNA gene, ITS2 and 28S rRNA gene". Lineage: Eukaryota; Fungi; Ascomycota; Sordariomycetes; Hypocreales; Nectriaceae. The record is from RNAcentral.